Molecule: long non-coding RNA, 1280 nt
Organism: Phyllostomus discolor (pale spear-nosed bat)
Lineage: Eukaryota; Metazoa; Chordata; Mammalia; Chiroptera; Phyllostomidae
Exons: 3
Source: RefSeq, a predicted model, not a curated record
UCUCAGUAAAAUGAGUGGUCCUACCUUUUUAAAGUUUAUCCCUGUAUGAGAACAAUUACUAGCUUGGUUUGGUGUUUGCCAAAUGACAGAUUGUGAAUUUUGCUUAUUUCCCUUCAGUUUCAAUCUCAGGUUGGUACCUGUAGCUUAAUUUCAGCUGUCUUACAGAUUUGUCUUUAGUUUGACUUUGUGGUGUUGAGACAUUUUGGGGGGUUAAAAUGAAUUUAUUUACUUUGGCUUUUAGUAUUUGGUAUAUUAACUAUAAGGAGCUUUAUGAAACUUUUAACUUCCCAGACCUCUUUAUGACCUCCUCCCUUAUGUGGGCCCCUCUCUUCAUUCCGGUCAACUGCCAACUGCCAAUUUCACAUCCCAGGAUGCUUCACCCAACUCCUUCUGCCUCUAACUCUCUUCCACACUGGAGUUAGAGUCUCUACAUUUCUGAGGAAAGAGGUACUAAUGGGUGGCUGCCCCAAAUUUUCUGCCUACCCUCUGUUUUUUAAAAAAUUUAUGUGUAAUAGUUUUGGAUAGAUACUUCCUUAUUUAAUGUGUCCAGUACCAUUUUUUGUUUGUUUCAGAUAGCAAAUGUGUUUACACCACAUUGUUUCUUAAAUUAAUUGUACUUAACGGGAGUUUUUGGUAAAAAGAUUGAAGAUUAAUUUUUGUAGGUUUUUAAAAUAGGCUUUUAGGAAGGUCAAGUGGAAGAAAUUUUAUUUUUAAUAGAAUUAAACAAAUUAUGCUAAUUACAGAUACAUUUCUACUUCAUAGGGACUGGUGUAUUUCAUUUACUAAACAUUCAGUUUUAUAGAAUUCUAUAAUAAAAAUAACCCAAUUUGCAAUAUGAGGUAGUAAAAGUGUGCUUUAGCUUUUGCCUUAUCUCAGAUUCCAACAUUUGUGAGGAUUGUGUGCUGGUCCCUAAACACUGGCAGUUUGCCUUUGCUGUGAUACUCUGUUUUUAUCAUGGAAAAGUUCAUUGAUGCUGAACAGAUAAGUAGUUUAUAAUAAGAUUGAGUUCGGGUAGAUUUAAGUGCUUCAUGUUGUCACAUGUUCUGCCACUCAGUGGUGUCAUGACUUGGAUUGACUUAACUCCUUGUACAUCAGCUUCCUUCUCUUUAAAAUGAGGAUAAGCCCUGAGCAGUGUAGCUCAAUGGGUUAGGUGUCAUCUUGCAAAGCUGACUGUCACCAGCUUGGUUCCUGGGUCAGGAAACACGCCUGAGUUCACGCCAGGUCCCUGGUUGGGGACAUGCGAGAGGAAACCAGCCCAUGUUUUUCUCACACAUUGAGGU